RNAcentral lists this long non-coding RNA (259 nucleotides) under Mytilus galloprovincialis (Mediterranean mussel). The record is from RNAcentral. Lineage: Eukaryota; Metazoa; Mollusca; Bivalvia; Mytilida; Mytilidae.
CUAUUGCUGGUCCAUAAAGCUCAAUGACGAUAUUUUAGUGAACGAUAGCAGAGAUGACAUAGAUGUAUCAAUAUAUAUAUAGGAAGAUGUGGUAUGAGUGCCAAUGAGACAACUCUCCAUCCAAGUAACAAUUUAUAAAAGUAAACCAUUAUAGGCCAAGGUACGGCCUUCAACACGGAGCCUUGGCUCACAUCAAUCAGCACGCUAUAAAGGACCCAAAAUAUUACUAGUGUUAAACCAUUUAAACGGGAAAACUAAC